RNAcentral lists this long non-coding RNA (3869 nucleotides) under Homo sapiens (human). Its description in RNAcentral is "HSALNT0106299". Lineage: Eukaryota; Metazoa; Chordata; Mammalia; Primates; Hominidae. The record is from RNAcentral.
CCAGGGUCUAUCAUUUUACUUUCUAAAAUUGCAUACAUACAGAAAAGCUGAAAGAACACAAUGAAUACCUUCCACUUGUAUUCAACAGUUGUUAAUAGUUUGCCACAUUCUCUCUUCAAUAUAUAAUUAUAAUAUCUCAACAAUAUAUACAUUUCUUUUGCUACACCAUCUUGAAAGUAAGUGGCAAACAUGACCUUUUGAGAUAAAUAUAUCAUCAUGUAUCUCCUGAGAAAAAAGACCUCCUCCUACAUAACCAUAGAACAAUUAUGAUACUUGGAAAAUUAACAAUUCCAACAUCACCCAGUAGUCCAUAUUCAAAUUUCCUUAAUUGUCCCCAAAACAUCUUUUAUGGUUGUUAGAUUACUUGAUUUCAUAUGUGUUCCAACAUCAGCUCUAUUUCUACCAAGUUAAUUUGCUCCAUGCCCUCCAGAGAGCUCUUGUUCCUACUGUCUCCGCACAUUUAUUUCCUCAUUUCCUCUUACCCUUCCUCAAAUAGGUAUUAGGCAACUCCUACGUGUCAGCCUGGGGAUACAGAGAUGAAAACAAGGUCCCCUCCCUUCCAGAUACUCAGUCUAAUGCAGCAGAUAAAGGUGUAGACAAAUAACUACCACUGUAUAGAGUGCUACAGUGCUACCACCGAGGGUGUGAAGUGCCUGAGGCCCUAGGAAAAUACUUAAUGCCUUCUAAGGGCUUCUCUGCCCAUCCUGCCCACCUCGCAUUAUAAGCCUCUCCCCCAGGAAGCCAUUCUGCACUAAUGCCAAUUGCUCUAGAUUUCACUCUGGGCCUCUGCAGGAUCCAUGCUCUCCCUAAGGACCCUCAGUCAUUUGAUGUGUCUCUCCACAUAGACCACAAGGGUCCCCAAAAUGUGCAUUAUGUAUUAGAUUUUUUCGUAUUUCCUUAGCCUGGGACUUGAUAUAUGCUGGACGCUCGAUAAAUCUUGUUGAUAGAGACCGUCUUCUGAUGCCUCUGAAUGGAAUACCAGUCUGAAGGCUAAAUGCCAUCAGCAGUUUUAACACUGACAGCACAGUCUGCUAGAAUACCAAUUUACCACAAAAAUAAAUACAUCCCCUGGAGGCCUGCUUGGUGAAAUUAAUCAAUGGCUUGGAGAAUUUGAAACACAUACAAAUUCCAAGUAAUAAGCUGGUGAUCUUCAAGUCUGCAAUGAACUGGGGAUGUCUCACCUCCCCAGCUCUCCAUCCAGGACCAUCUGGGCUCCCUCCCCUCUUCUGUCCUGUACUCUGUGCAGGCACAUCAUUUUUCUAGCACCACUUGCCCCUCCUCCCACGCCCUCCCCAGGAGUGGGGAAAGGGGAGGUUUGGAACAUCCUUUCUCUCUCAUACCCAUCAACCACAGCCUUGCUUUCCAGCUCUUCCAAACAUUACCUCUUCAAGACCUCCUCUGCGGAUCCCACCCAGAACCAGACUCACAGGAGAUUCACGGCACAGACACCAGACCCUCACUGACAUCCACCCACUCUUUUUUUCCGGGCAGGUUCUCCUUCCUCUGUGCCGAGGCCUGUUCCACUCAGGCUACUGAGCCAGGAGGCAGGCUUGGUGGGCUAGACACAGUCAGCAUUUAAUAACAAAGGUGUAAUAAUAAUACAAACAAAUAUACUAUUAAGAUGAACCUAACGGUUGGAGUUUGCCAAGCCAUCCUGUGACUGCAAAUCCCUUUUCAAUUAAUCUUCAUCAGUUACCAAAUGAGGGUAGACUAGAAUGAUCUCUAGAUAUAGAGAUAUAGAGAUCCUGGGCAUCUCUAUGCUUCCGUGAGUCUGUGAAUGUUGCCUAAGGAGAAUAAAUGUGAGCUCCUUAGGCUAUGAGAAUAAUAAGAGGGAGAGUAUGGGCUCUUUGAUAUCAGAAUAAGACAGAAUACAGGCUGGGCACGGAGGCUCAUGCCUGUAAUCCCAGCAAUUUGGAAGGCUGAGGUGGGAGGAUCACCUGAGGUCAGGAGUUCAAGACCAACCUGGCCAACAUGGUGAAACCCAGUCUCUACAAAAAUACAAAAAUUACCCGGGCAUGAUGGCAGGUGCCUGUAAUCCCAGCUAUUCAGGAGGUUGAGGCAGGAGAAUCACUUGAACCCUGGAGGCAGAGGUUGCAGUGAGCCGAGGUUGUGCCAUUGCACUCCAGCCUGGGCAACAGAGCAAGACUCCGUCUCAAAAAAAAAUAAUAAUAAUAAUAAUAAGACAGAAAAGAAAGAGAAGAGGAAGCGAAACGCUGAAAGGCUAUCAGUUAGCUGGGCUGGGUGCAGUGGCUCACGCCUGUAAUCCCAGCACUUUGGGAGGCUAAGGUGGGUGGAUCACCCGAGUUCAGGAGUUCAAGACCAGCCUGGCCAACAUGGUGAAAACCCGUCUCUACUAAAAAUAGCCGGGAGUGGUGGCACACACCUGUAGUCCCACCUACUCGGGAGGCUGAGGUAGAAGAAUCCUUGAACCUGGGGGACGGAGGUUGCAGCGAGUCAAGGUCGCACCACUGCACUCCAGACUGGGCAGAGCAAGACUCCGUCUCAAAAAAAAAAAAAAGGCCAGGCACGGUGGCUCAUGCCUGUAAUCCCAAUACUUUGUAAGGCCGAGGAGGGUGGGUCACUGGAGGUUGCGGUGAGCCAAGAUCGCGCCACUGCAUUCCAGCCUGGGCAAUAAGAGCGAAACUCCAUCUCAAAAAAAAAAAAAAAAGCUAUCAGGACUAGAGGAAGAGCGAAAAGUGAAAGGGCGGCCAGGAGCAGAGGCUCACGCCUAUAAGCCCAGCACUGUGGGAGCCCAAGGCAGGUGGAUCACUUGAGGUCAGGAGUUCAAGACCAGCCUGACCAAUAUGAUGAAAUCCCAUCUCUACUAAAAACACAAAAAUUAGCUGGGCAUGGUGGCAUGCGCCUGUAAUCCCAGCUACUCAGGAGGCUGAGACAGGAAAAUCGUUUGAACCUAGGAGGCAGAGGUUGCAAUAAGCCGAGAUCUCGCCACUGCACUCCAGCCUGGGCAACAGAGCCAGACAGUCUCAUAAAAAAAAAAAAGGAAAAAAAGAAAAGAAUGUACGGGGGAAGGCACAGGCUUGAACUCAUACUGGGUGCCCUACCAGUGAAGUCGGCUUAUCUCUAAAGCAUCCUUUUAAUCUCUCUAAUGGAAGGAUUAUGUGUCCGAAACUUACCCCAAACCCACUUUCCAGUGUUUAGGGAACAUCUGGCCUGAUGUAGGCUUUCAAUUCAGAUGAGAGAUUCACAGCCAACUUUCUGGGGGCCCUGGGGUUACGGGGCUAGGAAGGCAGGCAUGACUGUAAGGUCUGAGGAGAAAACUAAGGGACGGAGUUGAGGAAAAAGAAAUAGGUCCUUUAUAGUCCUGGCUCGCUGGUAGCUCCCUCUCUCUCUCUCUCUGUAGUUCCUCAACGCCUAUGUCUUUGGGACUCACCUUUUCUCCAAAGUCCUAAAAUCUUCUUUCAAGUUCCCCAUAGGCUCUAUUGUUCCCCCAAAGGGCUCCUCAGAUCCAGAUCCUCCUCCUCACACACACCCACAGUCUCCCAUUUAAUCAUCUGUAUUCUCAAAACAUUUAUUGAGUGCCUACCAGACACUGUGUGAAUACGUAUCUAAGACAAAAAUUCCUGCCUUCGAGGAGUUGUUAGUGGGUGCAACAGACAACUACACAGAUUGGGUUGCAGUGAGGGCAAAAGGGGAAAGUCUUAGGUUUUUUUCCCCCAAGAUGAGUCAUCUGGAGCUUUUCAGUUCCUCAAACUCGUUCUUAGCUUCUCAGCCGGCAGGCCUCUGCCUCUGUAGUUUCCUGAGUGGGCCCCUCUCUUUCCACUUCUCUUCAUCCGGCUAACUCCUAAUGCCUCUUCGUGCUUCCUGUAUGAAGCCCUCUUUGACUCCCCUCUGCACACAGCCUUCGCCCA